This is a long non-coding RNA of Oncorhynchus nerka (sockeye salmon), 2149 nucleotides long. RefSeq lists it as uncharacterized. Lineage: Eukaryota; Metazoa; Chordata; Actinopteri; Salmoniformes; Salmonidae. The transcript has 3 exons. The record is from RefSeq and is a predicted model, not a curated record.
AGCCAGCUAUAUGUCGUGAUAGUAAGGGAGGCUAGUGAUUGGCUAAAAGGACCUCGAUAUCACACAGUGUAUCUUGGGAUUGGCUGAAAAAGGAAUUUAAAAAAAUCUCAGGUCCCGCCCCCGAGUAAAUAUCGCCGCAUGUGAUUCCUGCCCAAGUGACCGUUUUAUCGUUCAGCUGAACUUGAUGAAACAUCUUUAGAAGUUGAUUAGAUUACUGGGAGACAACGGGUACAAUUAUACAUUGUAACGUCGUACCAGUUUGCCUUAAUAUUCUUUCAUAUUCGGUUACUUUGUAACAGUUCUCUCAUCAUGUGCCGGCGCCGAGAAGAUGAGAACGUGACACGCUGCUACUCAAACAGCAAUAACAAAGAAAUGAUGAACGUGGUACCUUCAGGCGUUUCGAAAUGGCUCCCAAGGAUGAACCAGACUUGUGGAGGUCUACAAUUUUUUUUCUGAAGACAUGGCUGGUUUCUUAUGAUUUUCACAUGAUGUCAAGCAAAGAGGCACAGAGUUUGAAGGUGGUGAGGCCUCCUCGUUUACAUCAAGCAGUCCUCAAGAAGCUGUUGACCUUGAUCUAUGUAUUUAACAUUGGAAAGAGGAUACAUCGCAUAGUUAUUUAUAUACUUGGCAUAGCUAAUUCUAAUAGGCUAUACUGUAUCUACUGCUGUACAUAUCAUUCUUAGUAUAUCUUGUGUAAAUCCAUCUAUUGUAUACACCUGUAGAUUGCAUUUGUAUUACAGUGCUAUUUGGGAUGUUAAUUGGAUUCCGCUGGCAUUUCUUGAAUUGUUAUAUAUUUUCUUGUUUUAUUAUUUGUAAAGUGUACUUUCACAUUGAGCUGCACUGUUCGGAGCUAACCACUGGGAAACAACAUUGAGUCAACCAGUGUAUGCCAUGUAAUUUCAAUGAAAUUACGUUUCAACCAAUGUGAAAUGGACGUUGAACAGUGUCCAGUGGCUAGUAACAUUAAGCAUUUCGCUGCACCCGACAUCUAUUUUUAAAGCUGGAACUAGCAGGAACACACUGAUCAAUACAUUUGUUUCUGAUCAACUCCUAUUGUGUCAUGUCACUUUUGCCUUGUCAGCUGUAGGAAAUACUGCCUGUGAACCUAAUGAACUUGACUACAGUAUUCUGAAGGAGACAAAACAAAUACUUUGUAAAGGGGUGUUUGCAAUUCCAGCAAAAUAUAGUCUGAAGGAAUAAGAAUACAGUAAAUAACCGGUAUUAGAAAGGUUACCCCAUGAAAGAGAAACGGAGUGAAAUAGAUUAUUCUUAUCAAAACCCUCUUAAUAGUCACAGUCGGGGCAGAAACACAUUUGAUCUGAAUUGAUUCAUUCAAAAGGCUUGUCUGUCUCUGACACCACAUUACAGUUGCCUAUCUGACUGGGCAAACACAAUCACACAGGAGAGAGAUAUAUUAUUUUCUUGGGGAGCUGCUGAAUCUACCUAUAGAUAUGUUAUUUUUUAUUUAACUGAUAUUUAACUAGGCUUGUCAGUGAAGAACACAUUCUUAUUUACAGUGACGGCCUACCCCGGGCAAACCCAGAAGACGCUGGGCUAAUUGUGCACCGCCCUUUGGGACUCCCAAUCACGGCUGGAUGUGAUACAGCCUGGCUUUGAACCAGGGACUGUAGUGACGUGUUUUGCACUGAGAUGCAGUGCCUUAGACUGCUGCGCCACUCGGGAGCCCAAAAUAUGUGGUAAUAGGACUACUUGAUUGGUAUCUACAGAAAGAUGGAAAUCAAUGGGUUUAUUUAUGAUAAGCGUUAGUUAAUAGUAUUAAGAAUGUUUUUAUUACAAUGCAGUACUGACCAUUACCUCAUCCAUGCAACUGACACUGAUUACAGUCAAACAGAAAAAGAAGCACUUCCUCCACCUGUUGGCCAUGAAGUGUACUGCAGGCAAUGUAACAAGGCAAUGACCAUAAUAAAUCGAAUCAAAUUUUAUUUGUCACAUGCGCCGAAUACAACAGGUGUGAAAUGCUUACUUUACGAGCCUUUAAUCAACAAUGCAGUUCAAGAAAUAGAGUUAAAAAAUAUUUACUAAAUAAACUCAAGUCAAAAAUGAAAAGUAACACUAGAAUUUCAUAACAAAAACAAGGCUAUGUACAGGGGGUACUGGUACCGAGUCAAUGUGUGGGGGUCCAGGUUAG